This 473-nucleotide ribosomal RNA is filed under the name uncultured organism. RNAcentral's name for it is "partial 16S ribosomal RNA". It matches the Rfam family "Bacterial small subunit ribosomal RNA", at positions 332 to 797 of the family's 1533-position model. The record is from RNAcentral.
UACACUCCUGCGGGAGGCAGCAGUGGGGAAUUUUGGACAAUGGGCGAAAGCCUGAUCCAGCCAUGCCGCGUGCAGGAUGAAGGCCUUCGGGUUGUAAACUGCUUUUGUACGGAACGAAACGGCCUUUUCUAAUAAAGAGGGCUAAUGACGGUACCGUAAGAAUAAGCACCGGCUAACUACGUGCCAGCAGCCGCGGUAAUACGUAGGGUGCAAGCGUUAAUCGGAAUUACUGGGCGUAAAGCGUGCGCAGGCGGUUAUGUAAGACAGUUGUGAAAUCCCCGGGCUCAACCUGGGAACUGCAUCUGUGACUGCAUAGCUAGAGUACGGUAGAGGGGGAUGGAAUUCCGCGUGUAGCAGUGAAAUGCGUAGAUAUGCGGAGGAACACCGAUGGCGAAGGCAAUCCCCUGGACCUGUACUGACGCUCAUGCACGAAAGCGUGGGGAGCAAACAGGAUUAGAAACCCGGGUAGUCCC